Molecule: ribosomal RNA, 468 nt
Filed under: uncultured bacterium
Lineage: Bacteria
Description: partial 16S ribosomal RNA
Rfam family: Bacterial small subunit ribosomal RNA
Source: RNAcentral
GACGAACGCUGGCGGCGUGCUUAACACAUGCAAGUCGAACGGAAAGGCCCUGCUUUUGUGGGGGGCUCGAGUGGCGAAAGGGUGAGUAACAAGUGAGUAACCUGCCCUUGACUUUGGGAUAACUUCAGGAAACUGGGGCUAAUACCGGAUAGGAGCUCCUGCUGCAUGGUGGGGGUUGGAAAGUUUCGGCGGUUGGGGAUGGACUCGCGGCUUAUCAGCUUGUUGGUGGGGUAGUGGCUUACCAAGGCUUUGACGGGUAGCCGGCCUGAGAGGGUGACCGGCCACAUUGGGACUGAGAUACGGCCCAGACUCCUACGGGAGGCAGCAGUGGGGAAUAUUGCACAAUGGGCGGAAGCCUGAUGCAGCAACGCCGCGUGCGGGAUGACGGCCUUCGGGUUGUAAACCGCUUUCGCCUGUGACGAAGCGUGAGUGACGGUAAUGGGUAAAGAAGCACCGGCUAACUACGUG